This 84-nucleotide transfer RNA is filed under the name Pleurotus ostreatus (oyster mushroom). It matches the Rfam family "tRNA". From Rfam's summary of the family: Transfer RNA (tRNA) molecules are approximately 80 nucleotides in length. RNAcentral also lists the same sequence under 1 other name. Lineage: Eukaryota; Fungi; Basidiomycota; Agaricomycetes; Agaricales; Pleurotaceae. The record is from Rfam by way of RNAcentral.
CCCUCGGUAGCUCAGUUGGAAGAGCGUGGGACUGUAAUGGAUACUAUCAUCCCAAGGCCACUGGUUCGAUCCCGGUCUGAGGGA